Molecule: long non-coding RNA, 717 nt
Filed under: Androctonus crassicauda
Lineage: Eukaryota; Metazoa; Arthropoda; Arachnida; Scorpiones; Buthidae
Source: RNAcentral
CAUUGAUAUCUGAUAUUUUAUUCAAAUCCAAUAGUGUUGCAAACCAACGAUUUAAUCGUUAUCUAGUAUGAAAAAUUUUUGUAUAAUUUUUUUUAAUUUUUUAUUUAAAUUGUUUUUUAUUUUUAUUUUUUUGACCGCGAAAGGGGUCCUUUCUCCUUUGACUGAACCGGGCCCUAGGCUGCAGCCCAUAAAAACCGUGCCUAAAUUCGCCCCUAGCUAUUCCGCAUUCGCGCUACAUCGGUCACUGUUGAGUAGUGUUGAGCUUAAUAAUGAUGAAUUUUGAGUCAUCUGCAGAGCCGGAUUUGGGUUUUUAGAGGCCCUAGGACAAGCAAGGCUUUGGGGCCCGUAAAAAAAUAAUAAUCUCUGAAAUAACUUAGAACGAACAAAAAUUCAAAGCAGCUACGUCUAAUUUUAAAGACUCCUUAAACCUUACAAGGAACUUUAAAAUUUUAUUUUCUAUCUAGGACUUAAUAAGAAAAUAUGGGUUUUUAUUAAAAAAUUUUUUAAAAGUUGAAAACAGAUUGAUAAUUUUGAGGACCCUACAAUCGCGAGCCUAGUCGGCCUAUAGACAAAUCCGGCCCCGGUCAUCGGUUAAACUCGACGGAGCUUUAAAUAACAGCGACCAGUGAUCGCUGUUUAGUAAAAGUGAUUAGUGUAUGGUGACCGGCGACCAGUCUUCAGUCUCUGCACUCAUGGAUAAAAUCACAUAGCAAAGUA